UGGGGAAUAUUGCACAAUGGGCGCAAGCCUGAUGCAGCCAUGCCGCGUGUGUGAAGAAGGCCUUCGGGUUGUAAAGCACUUUCAGCGAGGAGGAAGGUGGUGAACUUAAUACGUUCAUCAAUUGACGUUACUCGCAGAAGAAGCACCGGCUAACUCCGUGCCAGCAGCCGCGGUAAUACGGAGGGUGCAAGCGUUAAUCGGAAUUACUGGGCGUAAAGCGCACGCAGGCGGUUUGUUAAGUCAGAUGUGAAAUCCCCGGGCUCAACCUGGGAACUGCAUUUGAAACUGGCAAGCUAGAGUCUCGUAGAGGGGGGUAGAAUUCCAGGUGUAGCGGUGAAAUGCGUAGAGAUCUGGAGGAAUACCGGUGGCGAAGGCGGCCCCCUGGACGAAGACUGACGCUCAGGUGCGAAAAGCGUGGGGAGCAAAACAGGAUUAGAUACCCUGGUAGUCCACGCUGUAAAACGAUGUCGAUUUUGGAGGUUGUGCCCUUGAGGCGUGGCUUCCGGAGCUAACGCGUUAAAUCGACCGCCUGGGGAGUACGGCCGCAAGGUUAAAAACUCAAAAGGAAUUGACGGGGUCAUAGCUGUUUCCU
This 592-nucleotide ribosomal RNA is filed under the name uncultured bacterium. RNAcentral's name for it is "partial 16S ribosomal RNA". It matches the Rfam family "Bacterial small subunit ribosomal RNA", at positions 355 to 1375 of the family's 1533-position model. The record is from RNAcentral.